AACGAACGCUGGCGGCAUGCCUAACACAUGCAAGUCGAACGAGACCUUCGGGUCUAGUGGCGCACGGGUGCGUAACGCGUGGGAACCUGCCCUUAGGUUCGGAAUAACUCCCCGAAAGGGGUGCUAAUACCGGAUAAUGUCUUCGGACCAAAGAUUUAUCGCCUUUGGAUGGGCCCGCGUUGGAUUAGCUAGUUGGUAGGGUAAAAGCCUACCAAGGCGACGAUCCAUAGCUGGUCUGAGAGGAUGAUCAGCCACACUGGGACUGAGACACGGCCCAGACUCCUACGGGAGGCAGCAGUGGGGAAUAAUGGACAAUGGGCGAAAGCCUGAUCCAGCAAUGCCGCGUGAGUGAUGAAGGCCUUAGGGUUGUAAAGCUCUUUUACCCGGGAUGAUAAUGACAGUACCGGGAGAAUAAGCUCCGGCUAACUCCGUG
Molecule: ribosomal RNA, 433 nt
Filed under: uncultured bacterium
Lineage: Bacteria
Description: partial 16S ribosomal RNA
Rfam family: Bacterial small subunit ribosomal RNA
Source: RNAcentral